Small nuclear RNA from Schistocerca gregaria, 105 nucleotides. Lineage: Eukaryota; Metazoa; Arthropoda; Insecta; Orthoptera; Acrididae. The record is from RefSeq and is a predicted model, not a curated record.
GAAAUUUUGGGUCGCACUCCAUAUGUGACAAUUAUAACGAAACACAGGUUAGCUUGGUCCCUCCACAAGGACGUCAUACAAAAUCAAGACGCGUUACACAUUUUU